GCCAUGCCGCGUGAAUGAUGAAGGUCUUAGGAUUGUAAAAUUCUUUUAGCAGGGACGAUAAUGACGGUACCUGCAUAAAAAGCCCCGGCUAACUUCGUGCCAGCAGCCGCGGUAAUACUAAGGGGGCUAGCGUUGCUCGGAAUUACUGGGCGUAAAGGGAGCGUAAGCUGGUUAUCAAGUUGGAGGUGAAAGCCCAGGGCUCAACCUUGGAAUUGCCUUCCAAACUGAUAAUCUUGAGUAUGGGAGAGGUAAGCGGAACUCCGAGUGUAGAGGUGAAAUUCGUAUAUAUUCGGAAGAACACCAGUGGCGAAUGCGGCUUACUGGCCCAUUACUGACGCUGAGGCUCGAAAGCGUGGGGAGCAAACAGGAUUAAAUACCCUGGUAGUCCACGCUGUAAACGAUGAUGGCUAGUUGUCGGGCAGUAUACUGUUCGGUGACGCAGCUCACGCAUUAAGCAAUCCGCCUGGGGAGUACGGUCGCAUGAUUAAAACUCAAAGGAAUUGACGGGGGCCCGCACAAGCGGUGGAGCAUGUGGUUUAAUUCAAAGCAACGCGCAGAACCUUACCACCUUUUGACAUGUCCGGCUAUCCCGAGAGAUUUGGAGUUCCCUUCGGGGACCAGAACACAGG
This 629-nucleotide ribosomal RNA is filed under the name Asticcacaulis sp. Se3Ps_2710. Its description in RNAcentral is "bacterial SSU rRNA". It matches the Rfam family "Bacterial small subunit ribosomal RNA", at positions 391 to 1038 of the family's 1533-position model. The record is from RNAcentral. Lineage: Bacteria; Pseudomonadati; Pseudomonadota; Alphaproteobacteria; Caulobacterales; Caulobacteraceae.